This 497-nucleotide ribosomal RNA is filed under the name uncultured bacterium. RNAcentral's name for it is "partial 16S ribosomal RNA". It matches the Rfam family "Bacterial small subunit ribosomal RNA", at positions 28 to 507 of the family's 1533-position model. The record is from RNAcentral.
GAUGAACGCUGGCGGCGUGCCUAAUACAUGCAAGUCGAGCGAACAGACGAGGAGCUUGCUCCUUUGACGUUAGCGGCGGACGGGUGAGUAACACGUGGGUAACCUACCUAUAAGACUGGGAUAACUUCGGGAAACCGGAGCUAAUACCGGAUAAUAUUUCGAACCGCAUGGUUCGAUAGUGAAAGAUGGCUUUGCUAUCACUUAUAGAUGGACCUGCGCCGUAUUAGCUAGUUGGUAAGGUAACGGCUUACCAAGGCAACGAUACGUAGCCGACCUGAGAGGGUGAUCGGCCACACUGGAACUGAGACACGGUCCAGACUCCUACGGGAGGCAGCAGUAGGGAAUCUUCCGCAAAGGGCGAAAGCCUGACGGAGCAACGCCGCGUGAGUGAUGAAGGUCUUCGGAUCGUAAAACUCUGUUAUUAGGGAAGAACAAACGUGUAAGUAACUGUGCACGUCUUGACGGUACCUAACCAGAAAGCCACGGCUAACUACGUG